CUGCUUGCUUUGGCAGCACAUAUACUAGAAACAAUACAGAGAAGAUUAGCAUGGCCCUUGCACAAGGAUGACAGGCAAAAAAUAAAAAUGAAUAAAUGGGUU
RNAcentral lists this small nuclear RNA (102 nucleotides) under Neogale vison (American mink). The record is from RNAcentral. Lineage: Eukaryota; Metazoa; Chordata; Mammalia; Carnivora; Mustelidae.